Molecule: long non-coding RNA, 494 nt
Organism: Populus euphratica (Euphrates poplar)
Lineage: Eukaryota; Viridiplantae; Streptophyta; Magnoliopsida; Malpighiales; Salicaceae
Exons: 2
Source: RefSeq, a predicted model, not a curated record
CGAAAGCAGCAGCUGGUGCUAGAAAACAGAUAGAUCGCGAGAAAGAGAGAAUCCAAGAGACCCAGAGACAGAGAGCAGUUACUCCCGUCUUCUGAGAUCUAGCCAUUAGUUUGCCCUUUUCGUUUCGGAUCGGGAAAAAGGAUGUUUGAUGAUCAAGAUCUGGGUUUUUUUGCCAAUUUUCUUGGCAUUUUUAUAUUUGUUCUGGUGAUCGCAUAUCAUUAUGUGGUGGCUGAUCCAAAGUACGAAGGCAACUGAAACUUGUGCUGUCCACUCUCAAAUAAGUGUCCAAGUGAUAGUCAGACUGUCAAUUUUGUUUGCUCAACCACAGUGAAAGGUUUGAAUAGAUUGUUGCAGCUCCUUGAUGUUUUCAAUUUCUUUUUGAGGUUUUAGAAUAUUUUAGAACGUUGUUUGUGGCAAAGAUGAGGAUUAAUAUGUUUGAGAUUACCAGUGUUUUUACACUGAUGUAAUUCUAUAAUAAAUUCUUCAAACUUGUA